RNAcentral lists this ribosomal RNA (468 nucleotides) under uncultured bacterium. RNAcentral's name for it is "partial 16S ribosomal RNA". It matches the Rfam family "Bacterial small subunit ribosomal RNA", at positions 28 to 507 of the family's 1533-position model. The record is from RNAcentral.
GACGAACGCUGGCGGCGUGCUUAACACAUGCAAGUCGAACGGCAAGGCACUGCUUUUGUGGGGUGCCCGAGUGGCGAACGCGUGCGUAACACGUGUGUAACCUGCCCUUGACUUUCGGAUGACUUCAGGAAACUGGGGCUACUAUCGGAUAGGAUACGCUGCUGCAUGGAGAGGGUUGGAACGUUUCGGCGGUCGGGGAUGGAUUAGCGGAUUAUGAGCUAGUUGGUGGGGUAGUGGCUUACCCACGCAUUGAAGGGUCGCCGGCCUGAGAGGGUGACCGGCCACAUUGGGACUGAGAGACGGACCAGACUCCUACGGGAGGCAGCAGUGGGGAAUAUGGCACAGUGGGCGGAAGCCUGAUGCAGCAACGCCGCGGGCGGGAUGACGGCCUGCGGGGUGUGAACCGCUUUCGCCUGUGACGAAGCGUGAGUGACGGUAAUGGGUAAAGAAGCACCGGCUAACUACGUG